UUGCUUCGGCAGCACAUUUAUGAAAAUUGGAACAAUACAGAGAAGAUUAGCAUGGUCUCUGCGCAGGGAUGACACACAAGUUUGUGAAGCUUUCCAUAUUUAG
Small nuclear RNA from Rhincodon typus (whale shark), 103 nucleotides. The record is from RefSeq and is a predicted model, not a curated record. NCBI's taxonomy places the organism in Eukaryota, Metazoa, Chordata, Chondrichthyes, Orectolobiformes, Rhincodontidae.